AAAGGGCGCGUAGGCGGCUCUGUAAGUCAAAGGUGAAAUCCCUCGGCUCAACUGAGGAACUGCCUUUGAAACUGCAAGGCUUGAGGCCGGGAGGGGGUAGCGGAAUUCCCAAUGUAGCGGUGAAAUGCGUAGAUAUUGGGAGGAACACCAGUGGCGAAGGCGGCUACCUGGACCGGUUCUGACGCUGAGGCGCGAAAGCGUGGGUAGCAAACAGGAUUAGAUACCCUUGU
This 230-nucleotide ribosomal RNA is filed under the name uncultured bacterium. RNAcentral's name for it is "partial 16S ribosomal RNA". It matches the Rfam family "Bacterial small subunit ribosomal RNA", at positions 562 to 791 of the family's 1533-position model. The record is from RNAcentral.